Molecule: long non-coding RNA, 320 nt
Filed under: Naja naja (Indian cobra)
Lineage: Eukaryota; Metazoa; Chordata; Lepidosauria; Squamata; Elapidae
Description: lncRNA (ENSNNAG00000014230.1)
Source: RNAcentral
CUUAUUCCCAUGGCAAUCUUCUCUAAGUAAUGUUAAUUUAAGUACUUGGAACAUCAGUGCAUGUACCUUUCCAAGAAAUAAUUUAUCCAAAAAUGUAAGUUCAGAUGAGCACCUCUGUGUGUGCAACAUUGACAUGGCUGAGUGAAGAGCUGUGGUGGUGUAUCAUGGCUGUGAUUGGCUUUCUAUCUUCAAGCUCCGAAGAGAUAAACCCAACCAUCCAAUCAAGACAUUUAUAUCAGAGUUUAUAGAAGUUUUUGCAAUUGUGAUCUCUCUCUCUCCUCCCUCCCUCCCUCCCUCUCUCUCUGGUUCCUGCGUGUGUG